Molecule: long non-coding RNA, 743 nt
Filed under: Mus musculus (house mouse)
Lineage: Eukaryota; Metazoa; Chordata; Mammalia; Rodentia; Muridae
Description: long non-coding RNA chr1:89860445-89861188
Source: RNAcentral
AAAAGGCAAAACAAAGGGGGGAGCACAAAGGGGCCCUCCCUUCCCCUAGUGGCCAUAACAGUGAGCUGAAUUCCAGCCAGAGAACAGGCCAUCUGGCCCCAGGCCUGGUUUCCUAGGGUUUCAAAGUCUCCUGGGUAAAUACAGAUCUGCCAGGCCUCUUCAGUCCUGGAAAUAUCUGAGGCUACUUGGCAAGUCUUUGGACUGCAGAGCAUGUCCUCCUCUAGGAAACUUCUCUCCACCUGCAAGAUCCACCUUCACAUCUCCACAGACAACCCCAUGCCUUCCCACAUCCCCUGCCUGAUCCAGGACUCUGAUAUACAACAAUUAGAUCUUGGUGCUCACUCACACACACACACACAACACAUGUGUGCUCACUCACAGGCACGCACCCACACCUGCCAUCAGGCCUGCCACCAGCUCUGAGAUGUGGCUUGGAAUCGAUCUCCAGGGAAGUAUGCUCGGGAGGGACCAGGAGCCUGUGAGCCCAGGCCUAGAGGCUGCAAGCACCUCCGCUCCUCACCACGGCCAUCCUUGCCCUGCACGGAUUAUGGACUUCUCACUGAGAGUUCAGAGCCUGGAAACUAGUUGGAAGGCAGAUCACCAACUCCUGAAGCCAGCUUGACUAUGUGGACACAUGAACCAGAAUGCCCAAGCCACGCCAAGAUUUCCAAAGCCAAAAUGUGUCUCUAUGAAUUUUGGUCCCAGUCCACUAGUAACAGAUGUUUCCAGAAACUGAGAGGGGG